GACGAACGCUGGCGGCGUGCCUAAUACAUGCAAGUCGAGCGCAGGAAGCCGUCUGAACCCUUCGGGGGGACGACGGUGGAAUGAGCGGCGGACGGGUGAGUAACACGUAAAGAACCUGCCCAUAGGUCUGGGAUAACCACGAGAAAUCGGGGCUAAUACCGGAUGUGUCAUCGGACCGCAUGGUCCGCUGAUGAAAGGGGCUCCGGCGUCGCCCAUGGAUGGCUUUGCGGUGCAUUAGCUAGUUGGUGGGGUAACGGCCCACCAAGGCGACGAUGCAUAGCCGACCUGAGAGGGUGAUCGGCCACACUGGGACUGAGGCACGGCCCAGACUCCUACGGGAGGCAGCAGUAGGGAAUCUUCCACAAUGGACGAAAGUCUGAUGGAGCAACGCCGCGUGAACGAUGAAGGCUUUCGGGUCGUAAAGUUCUGUUGUAAGGGAAGAACAAGUGCCGCAGGCAAUGGCGGCACCUUGACGGUACCUUGCGAGAAAGCCACGGCUAACUACGUGCCAGCAGCCGCGGUAA
This 524-nucleotide ribosomal RNA is filed under the name uncultured bacterium. RNAcentral describes it as "partial 16S ribosomal RNA". It matches the Rfam family "Bacterial small subunit ribosomal RNA", at positions 28 to 523 of the family's 1533-position model. The record is from RNAcentral.